Molecule: ribosomal RNA, 227 nt
Filed under: uncultured bacterium
Lineage: Bacteria
Description: partial 16S ribosomal RNA
Rfam family: Bacterial small subunit ribosomal RNA
Source: RNAcentral
CUGAACCAGCCAAGUAGCGUGAAGGAUGACUGCCCUACGGGUUGUAAACUUCUUUUAUAAAGGAAUAAAGUUUUCCACGUGGGGAAUUUUGUAUGUACCAUAUGAAUAAGGAUCGGCCAACUCCGUGCCAGCAGCCGCGGUAAUACGGAGGAUCCGAGCGUUAUCCGGAUUUAUUGGGUUUAAAGGGAGCGUAGGCGGACGCUUAAGUCAGUUGUGAAAGUUUGCGG